UCGAUAACAUUGCGAAAGCGAUGCUAAUACCGGAUAACAUCUCAAAACCAUCUGGUUUUGAAAUUAAAAAUGGCCUCUACAUGUAAGCUGUUGUUUGGAGAUGAGCCCGCGUACCAUUAGCUUGUUGGUAGGGUAAUGGCCUACCAAGGCAACGAUGGUUAGCUGGUCUGAGAGGAUGAUCAGCCACGCUGGAACUGACACACGGUCCAGACUCCUACGGGAGGCAGCAGUGAGGAAUUUUGCGCAAUGGGGGAAACCCUGACGCAGCAACGCCGCGUGAGUGAUGAAGGCCCUCGGGUCGUAAAGCUCUGUCAAGUGGGAAGAAAAUGUAAAAUGCUAAUAUCAUUUUGCACUGACGGUACCACUGAAGGAAGCACCGGCUAACUCCGUGCCAGCAGCCGCGGUAAUACGGAGGUGCAAGCGUUAUUCGGAAUUAUUGGGCGUAAAGGGCGCGUAGGCGGCCCUUUAAGUCAGAUGUGAAAGCCCGGGGCUUAACCCCGGAAGUGCAUUUGAAACUAAAGGGCUUGAGUAUGGGAGAGGGAAGUGGAAUUCCUGGUGUAGCGGUGAAAUGCGUAGAUAUCAGGAGGAACACCGGUGGCGAAGGCGACUUCCUGGACCAAUACUGACGCUAAGGCGCGAAGGCGUGGGUAGCAAACAGGAUUAGAUACCCUGGUAGUCCACGCAGUAAACGGUGAACACUAGGUGUAGCGGGUAUUGACCCCUGCUGUGCCGCAGCUAACGCAUUAAGUGUUCCGCCUGGGGAGUACGGUCGCAAGAUUAAAACUCAAAGGAAUUGACGGGGGCCCGCACAAGCGGUGGAGCAUGUGGUUUAAUUCGACGCAACGCGAAGAACCUUACCUGGAUUUAACAUCCCGGGAAGUCUUUUGAAAGAAAGAUGUGCCCUUCGGGGAACCCGGUGACAGGUGCUGCAUGGCUGUCGUCAGCUCGUGUCGUGAGAUGUUGGGUUAAGUCCCGCAACGAGCGCAACCCCUAUCUUUAGUUACCAUCAUUUAGUUGGGGACUCUAAAGAUACUGCUCCGGUUAACGGGGAGGAAGGUGGGGAUGACGUCAAGUCCUCAUGGCCUUUAUGUCCAGGGCUACACACGUGCUACAAUGGGCUGUACAAAGGGUUGCGAACCCGCGAGGGUGAGCCAAUCCCAGAAAGUAGCUCCUAGUUCGAAUUGGAGUCUGCAACUCGACUCCAUGAAGCUGGAAUCGCUAGUAAUCGUGGAUCAGCAUGCCACGGUGAAUACGUUCCCGGGCCUUGUACACACCGCCCGUCACACCAUGAGAGUUGGUUGUACCAGAAGUUGUUGGACUAACCUGUAAAGGAAGUAGGCACCUAAGGUAUGGCUGAUGAUUGGGGUGAAGUCGUAACAAGGUA
This 1384-nucleotide ribosomal RNA is filed under the name metagenome. Its description in RNAcentral is "bacterial SSU rRNA". It matches the Rfam family "Bacterial small subunit ribosomal RNA", at positions 138 to 1498 of the family's 1533-position model. The record is from RNAcentral.